ACACGAACCGUCCAAACGUUAUUCGGAAUCAUUGGGCUUAAAGGGUGCGUAGGCGGCGCGGUAAGUGAGAUGUGAAAUCCCUCGGCUCAACCGAGGAACUGCGUUUCAUACUGCCGUGCUUGAGGGAGACAGGGGUAAGCGGAACUGAUGGUGGAGCGGUGAAAUGCGUUGAUAUCAUCAGGAACACCGGUGGCGAAGGCGGCUUACUGGGUCUCUUCUGACGCUGAGGCACGAAAGCUAGGGUAGCGAACGGAAUUAGAAACCCCAGUAGUCC
This 274-nucleotide ribosomal RNA is filed under the name uncultured bacterium. RNAcentral describes it as "partial 16S ribosomal RNA". It matches the Rfam family "Bacterial small subunit ribosomal RNA", at positions 523 to 796 of the family's 1533-position model. The record is from RNAcentral.